AUUGAACGCUGGCGGCAGGCCUAACACAUGCAAGUCGAGCGGAUGAAGGGAGCUUGCUCCUGGAUUCAGCGGCGGACGGGUGAGUAAUGCCUAGGAAUCUGCCUGGUAGUGGGGGAUAACGUCCGGAAACGGGCGCUAAUACCGCAUACGUCCUGAGGGAGAAAGUGGGGGAUCUUCGGACCUCACGCUAUCAGAUGAGCCUAGGUCGGAUUAGCUAGUUGGUGGGGUAAAGGCCUACCAAGGCGACGAUCCGUAACUGGUCUGAGAGGAUGAUCAGUCACACUGGAAAUGAGACACGGUCCAGACGCCUACGGGAGGCAGCAGUGGGGAAUAUUGGACGAUGCGCUGAAGCCUGAUGCAGCCAGGCCGCGUGUGUGAAGAAGGUCUUCUGAGUGUAAAGCACAUGAAGUUGGGAGGAAAGGCAGUAAGUUAAUACCUGACUGUUUUGACGUUACCAACAGAAGAAGCACCGGCUAACUUCGUG
This 484-nucleotide ribosomal RNA is filed under the name uncultured bacterium. Its description in RNAcentral is "partial 16S ribosomal RNA". It matches the Rfam family "Bacterial small subunit ribosomal RNA", at positions 30 to 507 of the family's 1533-position model. The record is from RNAcentral.